This 2466-nucleotide long non-coding RNA is filed under the name Mus musculus (house mouse). RNAcentral describes it as "long non-coding RNA chr14:32834320-32836786". The record is from RNAcentral. Lineage: Eukaryota; Metazoa; Chordata; Mammalia; Rodentia; Muridae.
UGGACAAUAAUGAAACCUUUAUGUAUUGAUUUUGAUGUGUGUUUGAAGAAAAAAAUAAUGUUAAUCGUGUAAGACCUGUAGCAACAUAAACAUUCCUUUAUAGUCCAUGGGUACAUGCUAAUCUAGAAAGCCAACUCAUUGAAUCCCAGGGUGUAUCUGCAGGCAGCGCUUUAGGAGGAGAUCUGCCUCUGGAGCCAAGUGGCUCCGUCUGGUGUGCAGAUCCUCUGCCACCGUCUCCUGGGUGGGAUGAAAAUCAGGAGAGCGAAAUCUCUAAGGCUUGUUGUGAAUCUUAAAGGAAUGACGGCAUAGUACACUCUUACAUGGUGACAGGGACACAAUUGGAUGAGAGGCCACCCGAGACAGAGAUAAGUCACAGACAGAGGCAGCGAAGCCGGGGCUUCACUACUCCACAUCCCUGUUCCAUUCUUGGUUUCCACGUGGGUUUUAUUGAACUGAUGUCUGCACAGCAUGUGAUGCGUAUAGUGGAAGGAACUGUGACACUGUUCGUGUGACAACCACAGCCAAAGCAGACAAUUAUCACGACCCCCAAGAGUUCCCUAAGGCUCCUCUAUGUCCUGCUCACCCCUCCAGCUCUUAGUGACUAUUCUGUCCCUACCAAUUUGCUUUCUCUAGAAUGUCUUCUAAGUGAGAUCAUGGGAUGGCUUCUUUCAGGUAGCAGGUACAUUACUUCUUGUGUCUGUUUUGCACACAUUUCCUGGCUUGUUUAUUUUAAUUCAAGAAUACAAUUACAUUCUGUGGUCGUAUCUUAAUUUACUUUCCAGUUUACCAGGUGCUGGCUUUUCACACCUCAUUUGAUAACCUUGACACGUUCUUUUAUCCUUAUCUCCCUGUGAGAUCGUUUUAUGGUCAUCACUGGUGAGUAACAAGCACCUUCCCUAAGCCGCCAAAAUCUGUAUGAUUUUGUUUCUGAUUUCUCAGGGAAGUUACGCAUGGAGCCUUUCUGAGCACACUGAUGAAACUGUCCUUCCACUUCUCAGGGGCCAUGAGGAGGAAUGAGUCAUCUCCGCGGCCAGGGCCUGCCUUCCUCCCUGACGAUGACAUCUACUUGGCAGCCCGGGCACAGGGGGUGCUGGGUUGGAGCAGCUCUCCAUCAUCCCAGUCGUCCUCCGAGUAUCAGUCCUACUCUCAGUACCAGUCCUGGGACUCCAGCAAAUCUGAGGAGCAGCAGGAGACUCCACCUGAGAGCGUGUGCGCCCUGUAUACCCACGUGCAGACUGUGCGCGGCGUGGCAGUGGCUUGGGAGACUGAUGAUGGCUUUGAGCCAGUCACCAGGAAGCCCCUUAUCCGGGAGGCUGAGUUCAUCAAGCGUCAGCGGCGGAAAGGCUCCUCCUUUGAGAUGGCCUCCAACACAGACCUGCGCUGGGAGCUGGAAGACUGCAAGCACUACUGCCCGCAGACUGAGGACCCUGUGGACUGCUGCAUGCAGGAGCUACGAGCACCACCAGACUGGCUGGUCACCACCAACCAUGGCUUGCGCUGUGUGGCCUGCUGCAGAGUCUUCCCUACGCUGGAGGCUCUGCUGGACCACGCCCAGCAUGGCAUCCAAGAUGGCUUCAGCUGCCAAAUAUUCUUCGAGGAGAUGCUGGAAAGGAAGCGGACCCGGGAUCAAAAGCAGGACCAACAGCCUGUAGAAGAGGAGCAGAGCCUUUCGGACAGUAGUGAAUGUACCAGGCUCCUAACCAAGGUGCUUCCCUGGCAGCAGCAGCCGCAGCAGCAGCCGCAGGAGCAACAGAAGCAGCAGCAGCAGCAACAGCAGAAGCAGCGGCAGCAGGAGCAGCAGCAACAUCAACAGCAGCAGCAGCAGCCGCAGCCACUGAAGCAGCAGCAGCAGCAGCAGCAGCAGCAGCCAUUGCAGCCGCAGCCACUGAAGCAGCAGCCGUUGCAGCCGUUGCAGCCGCAGCCGCAGCCACAGCCACAGAAGCAGCAGCAAAGGCAGCAGCAGAGGCAGCAGCAGCCACCGCGACAGCAGCAGAAACAACAGCCACUGCAGCAACAGGGAAAGUAGAGAUCGGAGGUGAGCUGCCCACCCUCCCUCCAGCAUUUUGAAUUGCUGCUCCUUUUCCAGCCAGCCGAACCAGAGCCACCAGAGCAGGGGGAGAGGACCAGGGUGAUGGGGAGAAGAGCCAUCCAUGUGGCUGUGGAGCAGCAAAGGUGGGAGGAAUGGGAACCUUUCCCCAAGGCGGAGUCCAUUUCAAAACCGGAAUCCAAAGAAGAGGGCUUCAAGAGUUCUUGAUGGUGGAUGCAAGAUGGGAAACAAGCAAGCAUGUGGCCACAGGGAUUUCUAUUUUUUGCGGAAGGAUCAGCAGUAGUCCACACUUGCUAUCCAAGUACAUGUGACUCACAGGCAAGCCAACUGCAAAUGAAGCUUCAGCCCUAUUUUUUUCAUUGUUAGGAAUCUGUCAUAUGCCCUAAUUCUAUGUUGUUGGGAUUAAACUUGAAUAAGCC